CCUAAUUGGAUUAACAUCAUCAUUAAGAGAUCAUAUAUAAGCUAAAUCAUAACUGUUUUUCAGAGGAGAAGCAUUUGAGAUCUGAAAAAUUCACACUCCCUCCAUUUUUUCUCUCUCUUCGAAUCCCUCAAUUCUUCACAUAAACCUUCAUUUUCUUUGCAUAAUCUGGUUCAUCAUGUAUCAUUGAGGAGGAAUCAACCUUUGGUUUGAAGAAUUCGGUUCAGAUUUGAGCUACACAAGCAUAUGAACAUGG
RNAcentral lists this long non-coding RNA (253 nucleotides) under Lathyrus oleraceus (garden pea). RNAcentral describes it as "Pisum sativum (pea) long non-coding RNA (PSAT_LNC038901)". Lineage: Eukaryota; Viridiplantae; Streptophyta; Magnoliopsida; Fabales; Fabaceae. The record is from RNAcentral.